This is a long non-coding RNA of Syngnathus acus (greater pipefish), 1433 nucleotides long. RefSeq lists it as uncharacterized. Lineage: Eukaryota; Metazoa; Chordata; Actinopteri; Syngnathiformes; Syngnathidae. The transcript is spliced from 4 exons. The record is from RefSeq and is a predicted model, not a curated record.
GUAAAAAUGCUACUAUGAAAAAUUCUAGAAGUCCAAACUCUCAUACAUGUGGUGACCAUAAUAGCAGAUUGUAGGAGGCACAGGGAAUAAAUAUUGGCUAUCCCAAAUCUCCAAUCCUCUUAACCUUAAAACUUUUGUAUAGCUUCCCAUAUGCUUAAAAAAAAAAAAAAGAAAUGAACAAAGACUGCAGGCCUGACUCUUCCGCUCCCACUCUCCAGCUGAAGUGACUCUUUUUCUCUCUAAAUGCAAACCCAGACGCAAAGCGAAGAGUGCAUGAAAAAAGAGAUGGGGGAGAGAGGGAGGAAAGAAAAAUAAGCUCCUGGCUUCCUCCUACUAUCACUAAUUCCUCAUUUCCUCUAAGAAAGCUCUGCGAGCACUCGGAAAGAUCGCACGCUAUAGUGUGGGCCAGACAGGCGAACCAAAACAUUCAAGAAAGCCCCGAUAGUCCCGCAAAUCUGAUCAGUGGUUUCACAGCCAUCAAUGAGGACAACAACAACAACAGGUUUUUCAAUAGCUUUGCAGAGAUGAAGAAGGGGGUUAGAGAUGGACCUCCAAGAUGGCUGUGAAGGGCCACACUAACACUGUAGAGGCCCCUGGGAAGCUUGUCUCUGGUGGCCCUGAGACAACGCACGCACACUUCCACAGGCUGAGGAGAUGGACUUGGAUGCAUCUAUAACAACAAACACAGGCCUUACUUUUCCAUUCCCAUUGAAGACAUCCAUCAGCCUUCGCUUCAUCUUUACCCAGUGGCUCAUCUUCGGAGCAGCAACCUGCUGUAAAUUCACAUGCGCACAAUGGAAGAGUUGAGCAAAAGAAAUGAACUGGCCUGCAAUCUGCAGUGAAUCGAUAGACCCUGAAGACAUGUUGCCUUUCAUGAGUGACAUUGUGGCAGGCUGCAAAAGCCGAGACAAAAGCGUGUGGGAAAAUGUCGGGAUCCACGCCGACACACGCUGAUCCACGUGUGCAAGUGCGAUGAGGACGUGCGGCCUAAACUGGUGGGAGGCAUCCAUACAACGGAGUAAGGUGAUUGUCUGGAAGUCCGGUAAGAAAGCUCUCUCUCUGCUUUUCUGCUUGUAUUGCAUGCGGGAACUGUAAAUCCGAGAUCCUCUUUACUUUUUUUUUUUUCUCUGUGGGAUUUCAUGAACAUUUCAAAACAAUGAGGAUGGGGCUGCUAAUCUCUGUGGUACAGCUAAAUCCCAGACAAAGGCAAAUAAUAAGAGCCGGGUAAAUUCCACCGUGAUGAAGCGGCCCUAAACCUAUCACUUGUGUACGGGAAUUACAAGGAAGACGCGCGUCAUGUCAACAAUAUCUGGUGCGAGUGUCUUCAGCAGAAACAAUGGCAAGCUUAAACCGUCUCAACGUGGCCCUGGUGUGCCACACGUUUAAAAGCGUGUGUGCUAAUGAGCAUGGGCACGCCUGCCUUCAAACAAAAG